UGCGACGUCGCGUGGAGGAUGAAGGCCUUCGGGUUGUAAACUCCUUUUAUGGUUGAACAAGCUCUGAGUGUAAAUCAUGAAUAAGGUGCUUCUAACUACGUGCCAGAAGAAUCGGUGAUACGUAGGCACCAAGCGCUAUCCGGAAUUACUGGGCGUAAAGAGAUGCGUAGGCGUUUCGAUAAGUCCUUUGUUAAAUACUUUGGCUCAACCAAAGUGCUGCUGAGGAAACUAUCGGAAUUGAGAAAUUCAGAGGAAAGGGGAAUUCCUGGUGGAGCGGUGAAAUGUGUUGAUAUCAGGAGGAACACCAAAGGCGAAGGCACCUUUCUAGGAAUUUUCUGACGCUAAGGCUCGAAAGCUAGGGUAGCAAAACGGAUUAGAUACCCGUGUAGUCCUAGCCGUAAACGAUCCCUGUUAGAUGUUUGGUUGAAUUAUGAUUCUCCUUAGGGAGUUGAUUAAUCAAUUGGGCGUUGUAGUUAACGCGUUAAACAGGGCGCCUGGGGAGUACGGUCGCAAGACUAAAACUCAAAGGAAUUGACGGGGACCCGCACAAGCAGUGGAGCGUUUGGUUUAAUUCGAUGCUAAGCGAAGAACCUUACCAGGGUUUGAACUGUAGCUGCAAGCUCCGAGAAACCGGAGAAGCCUUCGAGGGUGCUAACAGAGGUGCUGCAUGGCUGUCGUCAGCUCGUGUCGUGAGAUGUUGGGUUAAGUCCCACAACGAGCGCAACCCCUAUCCUGUGUUACAAUUUCUCAGGAAACUGCCCUGCCAAAACGGGGAGGAAGGUGGGGACGACGUCUAGUCAUCAUAGCCCUUAUGUCCUGGGCGACACAAGCGCUACAAUGGAAGAUAUAAUGGGUUGCCAAGCUGCGAAGUGGAGCUAAUCCCAAAAACCUUUCUCAGUUCAGAUUGCAGGCUGAAAUUCGCCUGCAUGAAGU
Molecule: ribosomal RNA, 933 nt
Filed under: uncultured candidate division WS6 bacterium
Lineage: Bacteria
Description: bacterial SSU rRNA
Rfam family: Bacterial small subunit ribosomal RNA
Source: RNAcentral